CAUGAAGCUGGAAUCGCUAGUAAUCGCGGAUCAGAAUGCCGCGGUGAAUACGUUCCCGGGUCUUGUACACACCGCCCGUCACACCAUGGGAGUCGGAAAUGCCCGAAGUCUGUGACCCAACCUUAGGGAGGGAGCAGCCGAAGGCAGGUCGGAUGACUGGGGUGAAGUCGUAACAAGGUAAC
This 182-nucleotide ribosomal RNA is filed under the name uncultured bacterium. RNAcentral describes it as "partial 16S ribosomal RNA". It matches the Rfam family "Bacterial small subunit ribosomal RNA", at positions 1319 to 1500 of the family's 1533-position model. The record is from RNAcentral.